Molecule: transfer RNA, 104 nt
Filed under: Niveomyces insectorum RCEF 264
Lineage: Eukaryota; Fungi; Ascomycota; Sordariomycetes; Hypocreales; Cordycipitaceae
Description: Sporothrix insectorum RCEF 264 tRNA
Rfam family: tRNA
About the family: Transfer RNA (tRNA) molecules are approximately 80 nucleotides in length.
Source: Rfam by way of RNAcentral
GGCAAGAUGGCCGAGUGGUUAAGGCGUUGGAUUUAGGUCCUGGUGAAAGCCCAGCAUUUUAUCUCCAAUCCGAAAGGGCGAGGGUUCGAAUCCCUCUCUUGUCA